This is a non-coding RNA of Zootermopsis nevadensis, 647 nucleotides long. Lineage: Eukaryota; Metazoa; Arthropoda; Insecta; Blattodea; Termopsidae. The record is from RefSeq and is a predicted model, not a curated record.
CAUGUUGCUGAACUAAAUAAAUUAAACUUACAACUGCUAAUUUUGGAAAGAAAGGUUACAGCAUCGUCAUGGGAUCCAAAACAGAUAAACCCCCACAAUACAUAAUGACUUACUGCAAGCUGAAGACAUGGACAUGUCUAGUAUUUAUGAAUUUAUUUGAAAUCCACAAGAAAAUCAAGAAAUAUCUGAAAAUUUUGUUGUUCUCUAUAUACCUAAUAAUAAUAAAGAUUUCAGAAAGUGUUUUAUUUUAGUAACAAACUACUCUUGUACAAGUCCCAACUUCAGAAUCACAUGUGAAAGUAAAAUUAAAACAAAAUUAGUCUAUUGUGAUCUAAGUUGUAAUGUCAUGCAGACUUGUAGCUGGGUACCAACAUUCUUCAGAGACCUUGGUACCCACCUACAAGUUUAUAUGGUAUCACAACCCAGAAGACAGCACAUAUAUCUUCACUGUCAUGAGGACAUCAAAUCUCAAAAUGAAAUGUGCUAAACAUCAAAGUCAUAUUCAGUACUACGCUCGAUUAUAAGGCGCACUCUGUUAUUUGUUCAUGAAGCCUGGUAGUUAAAACUAGUGUAUCAAAGUCUGUAAAAUAAAGUGUCCAGUAAGAAAUGACAAAUGUAAUACUGGAGAAAAUGUUUGAAAUUGCUGA